CUCCGCUCCGCCCCGCGCUGCGGCAGCGCGGGCAACGCGGGCGCGGCCCUGGCGGCGGAGCGGGGUGCGGGCGGUGGCAGCGGCACCCGCGGGUGGCGGGUUGGUGCGCCGAGAGACGCCGCCUCGGGAGAGACCCACGGGGGUGGCCUACGUUGGAAAAUGACUGAUCUGCUUCUGUAAAGAUCUCCAGAGAAAACCAGCAGGGUUUCUUGCAAGCUAUCUGCAAGGCACGUUAUGUUUUCAUCAGAAACUUGGGUCUUCAGCUAGUGAGGGAUGGUUCUUCACUCCAAGAAGAGUCUGGGAGAUGUCCUGCAUCAUCCACAGCCUGCUCCAUAUGAAGCUGAGGGGAGCUGCCAGACCUGUCUCACUACUCAGUGCACAGCGGCUGAGCCUGAAAGCAACACUCCAGGUGCCCCAGUACUCUGGUGCACAGCAGCAAGGGACACACAAAUGCAGCUUAUUACCAGCUCAGAGCACCGGGUUAGCCCCCAGCUAGACAAAGGCACUAAGACUCUAGGUCACCUCUGUAGCAGAUGGAUGUGAGCAUGGACCACACAGAGUUAACACAGGGAAACAGUCCAACUCAUUGAGUCCAACCUUAAAGGCAAAAUGCUGGAAUUUCAGUAAUUCAGUCUCAAAUAUUUGAUGGUGCCACCAAAUAAUUUUUGGCUCCUGAAGUUUUAAAACUGCAUCACAAACCUCUUGCUCACCUGAAGUGACACAAACAAGUUCAAUAGUACAAAGUACAAAGUCAUGUGCUGAGGGGCCAAUGAUAAGGAAUUUUUACGUAAGUCUGGAAGAGAUAAAGAAAGAAGAGUGUGUUGGUAGAAGGGAUACAAGGAUGUCUAGCAGAGUAAUGGAGCUUUAAAAAAAAGGCUAAUAUGACUGAAGAUGGUGCUCGGUGAGGUACUUUUAGUAAAAGUGGGGAAGUAUUGGAACCUUUGUAUAAGAUGAUGAUAAAAUCACAUUUGGAUCCCAGAACAAUACGCUCUCAUCUUUGAUGCUUGCUAAACACUUUUGCUUUGACUCGGGUCAAUCCUUUCUUUACCUUCAUGUUCCCUUCACUCUCACCAUAUUCUCUUAUUUACCUCUUUAGAGCAUGCAGCCGUAAGAAAGGUGAAUUGCAAUACAUUAACAGGUCAUGAACUCUUCCUCCUUUUUCCUAAGAUCUUAAAAUCAGCAUUGUCAUCACAAUAGUGAGAGGCACGAUUUAGCUUCCUGUUUCUCAGUGCCAAUUAUAAAUACCAAGAUACUACAGAAGAAGUUCAAGAGAGAUGAUAAAAGAUUAGAGAAGAUAAAUUCUUUAAAAAAUAAUUAGUUGCCAAAUUACUGGCAAUGGCUGGGUGCCUUAAAAGUGAAGAAUGUGAAUUCAUACAGACUGCCAUAGACUAUUGCCAGGAGCUGUGAUCAAGUCCUCACACCCUGAUCUUUGAGAAGCUGCUGCUGCCACCAGCUGGUAGUUCAUUGGUCCAUGGCUGGAGACAUGAAUACUUGGUUUAAUCGAAGAAGUCCCAGGAAGACAGGUAUGCCCUGAAGGAGGUCACAUCUGCAGAAAGUUACAGAAAUAUUGCUCCAGCCCAAAGCACAUUUUGGAAUUUGACGAAAGACCUGUACUAUGUUAACAGGACCAACCAAAGAUAGCAUUCACAGCAGUUAUCCAUGGGUACAGCUAGAACAGCAAGUGUACUAAAUUCACAGCAUUGGUCUGCAACUCUGGUCCUUUUUAUUAUUAGAUGACAGUCAGGUGCUUCACCACUUAAGUUCCAGAAGUACAUUUUGGGGUGGCAGCUCCUUUGUUCUCCAGAAGUAGAAAUGGUGGUUCCUUGCAUGCUUCACUGCUGCUUCUGCAGAGACAAUGUAAUGAGGAAUCUAGCGAGCACUGUGUUAUAUACCAUGCAAAGAGCAAAUGAUUUGCUGCCCUGUGGCUGCAGUCAUGGAUGCUGUAAGAAAAGGGCUUUUGCCCCAGCUAUGGGAUCAGUGCAGGUCAGUGGUCCUUUCCUGCCCACUCUGUAUACGUGAAGAUGCACACAGAGAUUGUGGAUUAUCAGCAGUUGUAUACAUAGUUGUAGAUCGGUUGCUGAGUUUGUCAUUAGCAAGCCAAAAAAUGGAGGCUUCUCUCUAUUAGGUUUAGCAACAUCAUGCAAUUUCUUCUGCAGUGUCUUCUGCAAGAGGACAGUAGGAGCAAACCUACUUGAGUUCUGGAAGCACCAGAAGGUACCACAGUCACUGGGCCGCUCUGCACUUCACAAGAUGUUUGCCAGGACUGAAAUGGCUGUAUUACAGGGCAAAUCUCAGCGGGCUGUGUCAUAUGUGGUUGUUCCUGUGAAAGCUAAGAUGUUGUAAUUAAUGAUAGAAGAAAUCAGUAACUUCUUUGGUUUUUAAAGAAUACUACUUUAUCUGGAUAUCCGAGACACAAUGGAUGGACCCCAGACAUCCUUGUUUCCAGACUAAGAUAUGGGUUUAGAAAUAGAAAAUCUUAUUGGGUUUAAGACGUGCCUUCAUAGCAGAUUAAAUUAGGUCUGUUGUAGACCUAAACCACAAAUACACCAGUGGUGAUGCACAGUGCUUGUUCUAAACACAACCACUGAGUCAUAGCUGGCUGUCACAGCAGAAUCAUAUGCAACACUACUGCCUUCACAUUUUGCCUGACUUAUGGUGCCUGAACUUACUGAAACUGUACCCCAGAAAGACUGCUGGGACAGCAUGGCCACUAGGCAUUCCUUAGAGGGGUGAAGAUGGCAGUGUUCUGAGGUUUUGUGUGAAGACCUCUGUUGGGGAGCAGAAAGGAAGCAGUAAGCAUGGAGAAGAGCCAAGCUACAUGGUCUGUGAGAUGGUCAUCACAAGAGAGGGCUUUUCCUUCUCUGUCUUUUCAGCCUUCACAGUACAGAGAGCCGUCUGAGAGCCUGUGCUACUAUUGCAGCUGCCCUCUUGGAAACCGAGGGACACUGAAUGACCAUGAAAGCGGUGGUUUUAUAAUAAGGUGUUAAGGGUGUACAUGGUAUAACCUGAGCCAGGGCUUGUGGAGACAUCCAGGGACACAAGGCCUUUUGGGAUAGAGUUGGACUAGUAGGCUGAGCAAUGCAAAUCUGACAGAAUCUCAUCCAUACAGUUUGGAAAAAGAGGACCCCAGAGCAAUCCCUUAUGCCAGACUUCACCUGGAAUUUGUCUCACUCAGGCUGGCCCAAUCACUCCAAAAUCACUUUUGGGGACAAUGUGGCAGACCAGAUGAUCUGCUCCCAGGGUCACUCCAAAACAGGAUUUUAUUUGGCAAUAUUGCCAGCAGAGUUCCCCAGGGGACUGCCACUGGCAUAAUUUAAUAGUUUUAUUGACGAUCUGGAGGUAGAUAUGAAAUUACAAAUAAGAGUGUACAGAAAGGCCAGUGAAGUGAUAAAUGGUGCGGAGGCAGACUAAAUUGAAUAGUUGUGUUUGUAAAAUAAAUGCAUUUUAAUAAAAACAAUUUGCAAAGUCAUCUUCACUAGGAGGAAAUCAUGCAAGUUCAUGUAACUGGAGACUAUAUUUCCUAUAGCGACGAACUUUAAAGGAAAUUAGGGGUUGUAAUGUACUGGAUCAGCACAGCUUUCUGUGGAAUCUCAUGGCAAAGAGGAAUUCUGCAGUCCUGCAGUGCAUCAACAGGAAAGGAUGCAAGAAGAGGGACCAAUACUUCUGCAGAGAUCAAAUUCAGAUUUUGAUGUGCAGGUUGUCCUCUCUUUUCUGAUGAUAUUUUAAAAGUAGAAACACUGAAAAAGCUGAAAGUCAUUAAAGACAAUUACAUAAAGUGUUCAGUGUGCUUAAUUUAUUAUAUAGAAGUCUGAGAGAUGCUUCAAUUAUUUUAUUAAAGAACAUAAUAGAUACCUGAGAACAAAAAUAACUAGACAAUAAAGCAUUUCUUCAUCAGGUAGACGAAAGUGUGGAAAGAAUCAAUAGCUAUAAAUUAGAGUCUUCCUCAGGUGACUUCUUUAAGUAAAAUGUAUUUGAAGACUGGAUGCUGGACAUGAACAGCAAAGUCUAUUUCCAGCAAUGCAGGCAGAUUGUAAAGAGGAAGGGAAAUGAACGCACGAGAGUGUGAAGAAUGAGUUUAAAAUUGAAGAGUUACUUGAACCACCUCCAAAAGAAUAAUGGAAAGAGAGUCUUUAGCUCAGUGCCUGAAUGCCUGCCUGUCUCAUAGUGCCUUUCAGGAAGGAAUGCCUGCUUAGAUUUAUACAUAUAUACAUAUAUAUUUAUGCUUGCUGAUUCUAGCCUCUCCUGCAGGACAUCUGUGCAAACCCCAAGACUAUUCCCAGCCCCAAGGACACGGUGCCAGUAGCUGCACACUGGCUGCAACCAUGGCUCUGCACAACUUGGUUGUUUAAAUGCUUUUUGCCACAGAGUAUAACUGUGAAUGCUAAGUGAUUUUUCUGAUUUUCUGUUUUGUACUGGCUUGAACCCACGUGGGCAUUACUUCUUGUACACCAUGAAUAAUAGAUCUACCUUAGAAAAAUGAAGAGUGACAGGGAAGGGCACAAACACAGGAACAAAGGCAUCCAUGUCGUUUAACUGUUACAAAGGUACCCAGCCAGCUUUUUCACCUGGACAACCAAUAUUCUUCCAGAAUUGCUUUCAGGUACAUUUCAGGAGUUUGAAUACAAACAAGAGCUGCUCUAUGCCAGUGGGACUCAGUGCUGAAGAAUGGUCCAGGUCCAUUUCAUUUGCUAGCACACAUCUGGUCUGGGAGUCUUAGUAAAUCUUACUGCCCAGGAUUUUCCUACACCUUCUUUCCUGCAUCUCUGGUAAUGAAAAAAGUAUCAGUUUUAAAUACAGUGCACUAGUUAUUCUGAGUUACAGAAAAAAAAAAAAGGCAGCAAUAGGCAAAUCAUCCUCACUUGUUGGUAUUAUAUAAUGAAAAGAAUAGUUUUGUAAGAGUGCAAUAUCUAUACAUAUUUCUCACACCCAUGGGAAAAAAAAAUCACAUGAAGCUACUUGAGAAAUAUUGAAAGCAGCUCUGCAUUUCAGAAGAAUAGAUCUUAAUUUUGCUUUAAAUGACAUAUGGCAGCAAUAUGGAUGUAAUAUAAACUAAGUCUGAUGAAUAAGAUUAAUACUCCAAGGGAAAAAAUAAAACAACAGAUAAUUAUCUUGAUUUCUCAGCAUAUUUGAAAAACAAAAUUAAGAGUGAUAAUUUAUGGGAUAUUAAGAGUACCAUGACAUAAAAAUUUUCAGUAUUGCAGAUGUAGAUGAAUUGUCAUUACACUGUGGAAAUAAUAUUCCUGUCCUGAAACAUAUAUAUGUCUUUUGCUGUGUCUUGCUGAUGUCCUUGGGGAGUUGUGAGAACAGACUGUCAUCUAAUAUCCUUUACCAUCAACAGAAAGUCUUAUGGGGCUCAGUUAUCUUUGGAUCAGGUCCCAGAACAUCUCAAGAUCUGCGGGACUGGCAAGAACAAAAUCACUGCAUGAACAAAAUCCUGAUCCUGCUGCUUCUUAGAUAAAUAAACUUAGAUGAUUUCAGUAAGACUGAGAUCCAGCCAUGAUGCACAAAUGCAUCAUCCUGCUAAUUUGUGGUAAGAUGUGUAUUAUUUCAAGUCAUUAAUGAGC
Molecule: long non-coding RNA, 5564 nt
Organism: Columba livia (rock pigeon)
Lineage: Eukaryota; Metazoa; Chordata; Aves; Columbiformes; Columbidae
Exons: 3
Source: RefSeq, a predicted model, not a curated record